RNAcentral lists this ribosomal RNA (551 nucleotides) under uncultured Geobacteraceae bacterium. Its description in RNAcentral is "partial 16S ribosomal RNA". It matches the Rfam family "Bacterial small subunit ribosomal RNA", at positions 9 to 538 of the family's 1533-position model. The record is from RNAcentral. Lineage: Bacteria; Pseudomonadati; Thermodesulfobacteriota; Desulfuromonadia; Geobacterales; Geobacteraceae.
GAGUUUGAUCCUGGCUCAGAACGAACGUUGGCGGCGUGCUUAACACAUGCAAGUCGAACGUGAUCCAGAGCUUGCUCUGGUGAAAGUGGCGCMCGGGUGAGUAACGCGUGGAUAACCUGCCCUGGUAUYUGGGAUAACAUCUYGAAAGGGGUGCUAAUACUGGAUAAGCCUACGGACUCCUYGGAGUYUGCAGGAAAAGGAGGCCUCUAUUUAUAAGCUUCCGUAUCAUGAUGGGUCCGCGUACCAUUAGCUAGUUGGUGGGGUAAUGGCCUACCAAGGCGACGAUGGUUAGCUGGUYUGAGAGGAUGAUCAGCCMCMCUGGAACUGAGACMCGGUCCAGACUCCUACGGGAGGCAGCAGUGGGGAAUUUUGCGCAAUGGGCGAAAGCCUGACGCAGCAACGCCGCGUGAGUGAUGAAGGCCUUCGGGUYGUAAAGCUCUGUCAGUGGGGAAGAACCGCCGGGUGGUUAAUACCUGCCUGGUCUGACGGUACCCACAAAGGAAGCACCGGCUAACUCCGUGCCAGCAGCCGCGGUAAUACAAGGGCGMMYY